AGCUGCUAAUACCGUAUAACAAUCGAAACCGCAUGGUUUUGAUUUGAAAGGCGCUUUCGGGUGUCGCUGAUGGAUGGACCCGCGGUGCAUUAGCUAGUUGGUGAGGUAACGGCUCACCAAGGCCACGAUGCAUAGCCGACCUGAGAGGGUGAUCGGCCACAUUGGGACUGAGACACGGCCCAAACUCCUACGGGAGGCAGCAGUAGGGAAUCUUCGGCAAUGGACGAAAGUCUGACCGAGCAACGCCGCGUGAGUGAAGAAGGUUUUCGGAUCGUAAAACUCUGUUGUUAGAGAAGAACAAGGAUGAGAGUAACUGUUCAUCCCUUGACGGUAUCUAACCAGAAAGCCACGGCUAACUACGUGCGAGCAGCCGCGGUAAUACGUAGGUGGCAAGCGUUGUCCGGAUUUAUUGGGCGUAAAGCGAGCGCAGGCGGUUUCUUAAGUCUGAUGUGAAAGCCCCCGGCUCAACCGGGGAGGGUCAUUGGAAACUGGGAGACUUGAGUGCAGAAGAGGAGAGUGGAAUUCCAUGUGUAGCGGUGAAAUGCGUAGAUAUAUGGAGGAACACCAGUGGCGAAGGCGGCUCUCUGGUCUGUAACUGACGCUGAGGCUCGAAAGCGUGGGGAGCAAACAGGAUUAGAUACCCUGGUAGUCCACGCCGUAAACGAUGAGUGCUAAGUGUUGGAGGGUUUCCGCCCUUCAGUGCUGCAGCUAACGCAUUAAGCACUCCGCCUGGGGAGUACGACCGCAAGGUUGAAACUCAAAGGAAUUGACGGGGGCCCGCACAAGCGAUGGAGCAUGUGGUUUAAUUCGAAGCAACGCGAAGAACCUUACCAGGUCUUGACAUCCUUUGACCACUCUAGAGAUAGAGCUUCCCCUUCGGGGGCAAAGUGACAGGUGGUGCAUGGUUGUCGUCAGCUCGUGUCGUGAGAUGUUGGGUUAAGUCCCGCAACGAGCGCAACCCUUAUUGUUAGUUGCCAUCAUUUAGUUGGGCACUCUAGCAAGACUGCCGGUGACAAACCGGAGGAAGGUGGGGAUGACGUCAAAUCAUCAUGCCCCUUAUGACCUGGGCUACACACGUGCUACAAUGGGAAGUACAACGAGUCGCGAAGUCGCGAGGCUAAGCUAAUCUCUUAAAGCUUCUCUCAGUUCGGAUUGUAGGCUGCAACUCGCCUACAUGAAGCCGGAAUCGCUAGUAAUCGCGGAUCAGCACGCCGCCC
RNAcentral lists this ribosomal RNA (1217 nucleotides) under Enterococcus durans. Its description in RNAcentral is "bacterial SSU rRNA". It matches the Rfam family "Bacterial small subunit ribosomal RNA", at positions 158 to 1362 of the family's 1533-position model. The record is from RNAcentral. Lineage: Bacteria; Bacillati; Bacillota; Bacilli; Lactobacillales; Enterococcaceae.